Limulus polyphemus (Atlantic horseshoe crab) is the source of this 1985-nucleotide long non-coding RNA. RefSeq lists it as uncharacterized. The transcript is spliced from 3 exons. Lineage: Eukaryota; Metazoa; Arthropoda; Merostomata; Xiphosura; Limulidae. The record is from RefSeq and is a predicted model, not a curated record.
UUUAACAAUGAAUAAAGAAACCUAUAAUUUCAUUUUUCAUACAAGAUUCUAAUAAGACAUAUUUAUGUUACUAAUACUUUUUUGUUUUCAGCAUAAAGUAUUACACAAUGUGAAUUCAGCUUCUUGUUUAUUUAGUGUGUGUAAUUUUUAAAAAUAACAGCGUUUUCGUAUAGUUAAGCACUUAUUCAUUAAUAACAAACAUAGUAGUUGAUACUUUACAAGGACGCCCUCUAUUAACGACGCGAUAGAACUAAGAAAAUUGAUGAGAUGAAAAGAAUACCUAUGCACAUGGAUGUAUGAAUUUAUGUAUCUUUAUACACAGAAAUGUGUCUGUGUAAUGCCUACAUAAAUAUGUAGUAAAUAAACUAGUAAACGUUUUAUGAGUAAUUGAAUAUAAACGGAUUAAAAAAGUGUAAAAAUUUGUCCCUAGUUUAUUCAGUAAAUUCACUGGUUGAAAUAUAAAAUAAUAAUAUGAUGUGCUUAAAAACUGUGCACAGUAGAAACUUGACGUCAUGUGUUACAAUAGCGGCGAUAUUUAUUAUUAUUUUUUCGAGGUUGAAAUAGCUGUAUGAAAGAGAAAAUGCUGUUAUCGUUUUGUGCAAAUGAAGUUAAUUGAUCUUCAUUGAGGUUCUUACAACAUUAUUUUAAUGAUGAUAAACUGGAAGAUUUUAUGUUCUAUGAAAUAAGAAACGUUAAAGAAUUUCGCGUGGAAAAGAUAAAAAAAAAUAUACGUUCAUUGCUUCAAUGUUAAGUUUGUUUGUAUCCGUUAUCACAUAACAUCAUUUCAUUGUAGUGUUUAGCUGUAGAUUUUCUGAUAACGACCAGAUUCUGUGAGUGCGUUUCUGCGUAUGCGUUACUAAGUGUACUUGCACUGCUCGAAGGUAAAAAAGUCUGGAGACAGUCGCGGGCCGUCUGUGUCUGAGAAUAAAUGUGUGCAAGGAACGCCUUGUGAUGCGUGUAGUUAAUUCACUGAAAUAAGGCAUAAAGACAGCGCAUUCAUUUACUGUCAUGUGUCACUCACUAAUGAUUAAAAAAUACAAUGUUUGUUUGUGUUAGCUACCAUAUAACAUCUCUUAUUACCGUGUGUCUCAUUCACUACUGGCUGAAACACGAUGCAAUAAUGGUAGUUUUGUUUGUGUUAGUUACCAUAUAACAUUUCUUAUUAUAGUGUGUAACACUCACUAUUAGCUAAAACACGAUGUAAUAAUGGUAGCUUUGUUUGUGUUAGUUACCAUUUAACAUUUUUUGCUACUGCGUGUUAUUAUUGGCUAAAACACGAUAUGAUAAUGACGAGCGCACGAAGACGGCCGUACUUUUGAGUGGAGAGGGAUAUUGACCAGAAGAAACUCAAUCUGUAUAAGGUUGAGUAUCAGAAAAGAAAACCAGUAACCUGAAAGUGGACUUUCCUUCAUCAAGGGUAAAUGGCCAUUGACCAUAUGAAGCACGAAGCUAUCCAAUGGACCAUCUGUGCACUGUCCAACACGUUAUAAGCCCUCAGACUAACGGCCGAGCCACUGUGAGGAGAGGGGGCGGGGGCUUAACUGUUUGCAGUAUUUUUCUUUGAUUAUCUUAUUAUUAUUAUUAUGUUUAAGAUUGACAACAGAGGUCAAAGUACUGCAGAGCUAGCUCAGAUUAAAACCCAAAAACUUGAGCGCUUUUGAAGGUAGUCAUUCUAGCUUCAAGGUUGAAUUCAUCCAGAAGAAGAAAAAUGUAUCAUCCGAAAAUGUUGAGAUUAUCGGGCUUCUUAUUUUGUGAUUCAUCCAGUUAUUGAUUUCUUAAUAUCAAGCACAGAUUAGAAGUGAUGCACGUCAAACGGGAACAGUGUAGUGUUGUUAUAUAAUAAUAGAAGCAGUGUACUGUUAUUAUAGAAUAAUAGGAAUAGUGUUCUUAUGUGUGGAUUCCAACGAUGAUAAAAUAGAAAAUAUAAUGUACCGUCGGUCGAUGUAAUUCCAGCUGUUAUAUAAUAAAGUAUUGUCAUGAUUCUA